RNAcentral lists this small nucleolar RNA (133 nucleotides) under Tursiops truncatus (common bottlenose dolphin). Its description in RNAcentral is "Small nucleolar RNA SNORA4 (ENSTTRG00000025044.1)". Lineage: Eukaryota; Metazoa; Chordata; Mammalia; Artiodactyla; Delphinidae. The record is from RNAcentral.
CUACUAAAAGAUGGUUUCAAGGGGAAGAUUUUUCAUCAUCUUUGUCAGCUCAAGCUACGUGGGGGAAUAAAGACCAUACUCCAGUGAGCUGUGUGAUAUAUAUGCAGUUCGCUACUAUUUUGUGCCCUGAAAG